Long non-coding RNA from Mesocricetus auratus (golden hamster), 675 nucleotides. RefSeq lists it as uncharacterized. NCBI's taxonomy places the organism in Eukaryota, Metazoa, Chordata, Mammalia, Rodentia, Cricetidae. The record is from RefSeq and is a predicted model, not a curated record. The transcript is spliced from 4 exons.
AUUACCUUCUUCCCAUCUUUUUUUCAGUGGGAGCUUGUGUUGCCUCUUCCUCUCCAUAAGCACUGGGCAAGGACCAGAAGGGACUGAAGACUUAAGCACAGGGAAAGGACCGGAAGGCACUGAAGACUGAGGCAGCAGAAGUGGCUCGGUCACCUUGAGCCUAGUUUGAGCACAGGAGACCUCAAAGCCCACUCCCACAGUGACAGGCUUCUUCCACCAAGGCUGCACCUCCUUCAACAGUGACACACAACAAGGCUGCACCUAUUUCAAUGAAGGCACACUCCCUGAUGGUGGGGACCAUUCGCUUUUCAAGCCACCACCAUCUGUGAGGACAUUUCCAGAGAGCUUCAACUAAGGGGCAAAGACCCACUGUGAAUGGGUGCAAUUGACUUUCAAACUCAGACAUCAUUUCUGAACGCCUGACCCUACAAUGAACAGCCUUUCUCCAACACAGCCAAGGUGUACUCGGAGCCUCUCUGGCUCUUUAUCUUCUUAAUAUAAGUGACCUGGGUUGUGUCAAAAUGACAGUUAAAUUAAUCAUCACAAGUACGUAGAAGAGAGCAAUGAAUAGAGAAAUCACCAUCAUCUUCAUCAUCAUCUUGCAUCUGCUACCUUGAGGAUAGCAACAAUAUAAACAUUAAACUUCUUUUUCACAGUGGAAUUUUCUGAUAUAUU